AGACAGGAUCUCACUCUAUCGCCCAGACUGGAGUGCAGUGGCACAAUCUCGGCUCAUGGCAACCUCCACUUCCUCAGCUCAAGUGAUUCUCCUGCCUCAGCCUCCCGAGUAGCUGGGAUUGUAGGUGCACACCACCAUGCCCAUCUGAUUUUUGUAUUUUUAGUAAAGACAGGGUUUCACCAUGUUGGCCAGGCUGGUCUCAAACUCCUGACUUCAAAUAAUCCACCCACCUUGGCUGCCCAAAGUUCUGGAAUUAUAGGCAUGAGCCACUGUGCCUGGCCUAAAAUUUCAAUGCUAAAAUUUCAAUAUGGUGGCCUUCCUUUACAAAUUGAAUGACAUCAGGAAUAUCACUUCUAGAAGCCUAUGUAACAGAAACAACAAGCAUGACUACAUGAAGAAUAUAUGUCUAAUGAUGCUCAUUGCAUCAUAAUUUGUAGCUUAAGAAUUGGAAACAAACCAAAUAUCUACCUAUGAAAGAAUGGUUAAAUUGCCUAUGAAUGGAAUAUUAUGUAACUAUGACAAAGAAUUAGGUAGGUCUAUAUGAACUAACAUGGAAAGAUAUCUGUGUCAUCUUUAAAAGAAAAUUCGCAGACAGAGCAAAAUGGCAUUUCGUAUAAAAUGUACAGAUAAAUUGUGCAAGAAAGAUUUAACACAAGAGGCCUGACUGCUAUCCUCUGAAAGGUUCUUGGCUGGCAUCUGGGAACUUGGAAGUUAGGAGAGUUCUUGCCAUUACCAACUGGUAAGAGCGGCUCACUGCACCCAAACUGUUUAUAGGAACCAUGUGGUUUGUGCUGAACAUCUGCUUUCCUGUGGCACAGUCUGAAAUUUUGAUAUAUACCUGUUAGAGGCGGCCUGUGUGACCAGCCCCCAGUAAAAUGCUGAACAUUGAGUUUCUAAGGAGCUUCCCUAGUAGACAUUUCACACAUGUCACAACUCCUUGCCUGGGGAAUUAAACAUGUUCCAUGCGAAUCCACUGGGCAAGGACCCUUGGAAGCUUGUGCCUGGUUUCUCCCAGCCUUUGCCCCACGCACUUUUUCCCUUUGUUGAUCUCACUCUAUAUCCUUUCACUGUAAUAAAUCUUACCAGGAGUAAAACUAUAUGCUGAGUCUUUGAGUCCUUCUAGCAAAUCAGAGAACCUGGCAGUGAUCUUGGGGACCCCCAACACAUGAACACAUGGCUUUAUUUAUACACAUGCACAGGAAAUCUUCUGGAACCGUUGAGGAUGUUUAAUUCUCAGUAGUGGGUUGAAAUGCCCACUUUACCUCUUGCUAUAUAAUGUUUUUAAAACUAUGAGAAUUUGACUGAUUUUGAGUUUUGCGUGUCUUCGGUGAUUUACCAUGAUGUCAUGAUUGCUCACAUGUGUGUCCCUGUAUCAUGAUGCGUCUCUUGGUCCUGUCUCAGUUUUUGGAACAUCUCCAGUGACUGGCAUUAGGCCUAGCACAUGGUAGGUGAAAGAAAUGAUGGUACUAAUUGAAUUUGAAGGAAAAGCAAGUAGAUGGACAUAGAGAUAAUUUAGAAAUAACCUCAAAGGCAGUACUGACAUGUAGAAUCUCCUUUCUUUUGAUGUUUCAGCUUUUCAAGACUUUUGAUUUUCCAGCUAAUUUCAAGCCUUUCCAGUUUUUAUGCCCAUUUGGAAGAGGGGAAAGGUAAAAAUAAAGAACAAAAAGAAGAGGUGAGAGAUAGAUGAAGCUAGAAAAAUAACUACAAUUUAAACUUCACCUCUCUUCAACCCAGCCAGAGGCAAGCAGCUGGUCAUUUCAUUCGACAUAGUUUAUCCUAAAGAGGACGGCAUGCCUUCCUCCUCAAACUACUCUCUGUUGGCAGCAUGACUGCUGUAUCAAAGGAGGACAUUGUCUGUGUGGUAGGUAGGGUAUGAAACAAAUGUGGAAAACUGUUCCAUUUUCUUCCUUUUGAAUGUACUGUUCUGUAAGACUGAUUAAUUACAUGGUUAACUAUAGGGUACCAUUAUGUAAAUAUAAAUGAAGUCAAGUGUUU
This 1995-nucleotide long non-coding RNA is filed under the name Homo sapiens (human). RNAcentral's name for it is "non-protein coding lnc-CD47-10:1". The record is from RNAcentral. Lineage: Eukaryota; Metazoa; Chordata; Mammalia; Primates; Hominidae.